AGGAACUUAGGAUAUAUUAAACCAGUGGCCUUCAAAACCACUAAAAAGAGUACCACCUCUUAGUUCCUC
RNAcentral lists this transfer RNA (69 nucleotides) under Brookesia thieli (Domergue's leaf chameleon). Its description in RNAcentral is "tRNA-Trp". The record is from RNAcentral. Lineage: Eukaryota; Metazoa; Chordata; Lepidosauria; Squamata; Chamaeleonidae.